This is a long non-coding RNA of Gadus macrocephalus (Pacific cod), 952 nucleotides long. RefSeq lists it as uncharacterized. NCBI's taxonomy places the organism in Eukaryota, Metazoa, Chordata, Actinopteri, Gadiformes, Gadidae. The record is from RefSeq and is a predicted model, not a curated record. The transcript has 2 exons.
UUUUCGAAUCUAAACACAACACAUGUCCGAGUAAUAAUUAAGACAAACGCAAACAAGAAUGCAGACAUGUACUUCCCCUCUAUCCACGACGACGUCGAAAUGUGGCCUUUAUUUCUUCCUAGUGAGUCAGUAGGCCUAAAUGCCAAACUAGGAAAGGUCAACCCUAUUCCUCAAGGUAGCGCAGGUGAGAAGUACUACAGCAGGCCGUCUAAGGAUGAACAUAAUACAACUUCCAGGCCGGAGGACAGCGGUAAAAGUCUACCAUCGUGGUCAAAAAGUGGACCCUUGGUGGAACCCGUGUACCGACCUCUUGAAGUCUUCGGUCCUCCAGCAGGUGGACCUAGGUACCCGCGGAGUGAGCACGCUUCUGACGUCUGUGAGCUGUCCAUCCGGCUCAAAGAAAUGGAGUUGUGCAGCAUGAUCGGCGAGCUGUUGGACGUCCCACGAUAUACAUUCUUGAGAAAUAUCAGAUACAAGCAGAUGACAACAUAGAGGAGAUGAAGACCAAACUACAAAAAAAGACACCAUCAGAAAACAGCCGACAACGUCAGAGAUAAAGACAACUUUAUAAUUCAGGUCAUAGGCUAUAUAGGACAUAUUGGUCACUCCAAUAACACCUAGAGAUUGUUUUUUUUAAUUCAGUCAAAUCUUUAUUCUUGAUGCAUUGUUAUCCUCCACUGUGUCCACGGAUAAAAUAUGGACAUGUCAGAAGAAGUGUUCCGUUACAUGAGUAAAAAUGUUUUUAUUUUACACAGUUCAUGGUGAGAUUGCUGUACGUGUUGGUAGGCCUACAGCUGAAAAAUCACCUGGGCAACACAGCUCUCGUUUUUGGGGGGUGAUGGAACUUUUUACAGGUAUAGUACAAAUGAACAAGCAAGGGUUAACAGAACAGUUCUUUAGGCCAAGAAGUAGAGAGGGUUGAACAGUUAAAUACGAAGAGAUUGUUCCGUUA